Molecule: long non-coding RNA, 625 nt
Organism: Sinocyclocheilus grahami
Lineage: Eukaryota; Metazoa; Chordata; Actinopteri; Cypriniformes; Cyprinidae
Exons: 3
Source: RefSeq, a predicted model, not a curated record
AAGCUGACAAAUACGUCAGAAUUUUUUUUUUUUUAGCAAAUAUUCAGUCUCCUCCACUGACCAGUUCAUAAGACGUAAAUAAAGACAUGCAUAUUUGUACAGUAAGAAGGUAAAAGUAGCAUGUAAUCAAAGAUUAUUUCAGGUCCACCCCUUUCAAUCCGAUAGAGACUUCAUUCGGACCAAACUCAAUCACAUUGAUUGAGGUGUUUACAUUAAGGCUUUUCAAUCUGACUGAGCCAUCAAUCCCAGUACUAACAGAUUGUUUGGGUGCAUGGGAAUGUAGCUAAUGACGUUUAUUACCUUUUCUACAAUUACAGGUUUUGACUGAGUCAGUGUCUUUUACCCACAAGCUACAACAGGUAAACAUGUUAGCUGUGUGGAUGGACUUUACAGUGACCCAAAAUGAAGUUAGAGUAGCAAUAAUAACUUUUUUUGGCUGAAAAAAUAUCAAUAGGAGGCUUGUUGCCAAAGAACUUUGAGUGUUUUUUUUUUUAGUGAUUAAUUUAAUCGGCUGAGAAAAUGACACCCAAUUAAAUUACCCAGUAACCCAAAUUUAAUUAUCGAAACUUUAUUUUCAAUUUCGUUUUUUUUUUAUUAAUACUAAAUAUCAGUUUAAUACUUUUUG